Molecule: ribosomal RNA, 696 nt
Filed under: uncultured bacterium
Lineage: Bacteria
Description: bacterial SSU rRNA
Rfam family: Bacterial small subunit ribosomal RNA
Source: RNAcentral
AACGCUAGCUACAGGCUUAACACAUGCAAGUCGAGGGGAAACGAUAUUGGAAGCUUGCCUCCGAUAGGCGUCGACCGGCGCACGGGUGAGUAACGCGUAUCCAACCUGCCCAUCACUUGGGAAUAACCUUGCGAAAGUAAGACUAAUGCCCAAUGAUAUCCCACGAAGGCAUCCGAAUGGGAUUAAAGAUUUAUCGGUGAUGGAUGGGGAUGCGUCUGAUUAGCUUGUUGGCGGGGUAACGGCCCACCAAGGCAACGAUCAGUAGGGGUUCUGAGAGGAAGGUCCCCCACAUUGGAACUGAGACACGGUCCAAACUCCUACGGGAGGCAGCAGUGAGGAAUAUUGGUCAAUGGGCGAGAGCCUGAACCAGCCAAGUAGCGUGCAGGAUGACGGCCCUAUGGGUUGUAAACUGCUUUUAUAAGGGAAUAAAGUGGGUCACGUGUGGCUUUUUGCAUGUACCUUAUGAAUAAGGACCGGCUAAUUCCGUGCCAGCAGCCGCGGUAAUACGGAAGGUCCGGGCGUUAUCCGGAUUUAUUGGGUUUAAAGGGAGCGUAGGCCGGAGAUUAAGCGUGUUGUGAAAUGUAGAGGCUCAACCUCUGCACUGCAGCGCGAACUGGUCUUCUUGAGUACGCACAACGUGGGCGGAAUUCGUGGUGUAGCGGUGAAAUGCUUAGAUAUCACGAAGAACUCCGAUUG